GCAAUCACAAUUGUUAAAAGACACACUUGAAAAAAGUGAAAGCAAAUGGUACCUUCAAGCUGCAUUAUUUUACUCCAAAGAGAAAAUAUGAUAAUGCAUUUUGUGACCUGACCUCCGUAUGUGACUAAGUGGUAUCGCGUAAAUGUAUGUGCAUUACUAUCGGAAUUCAUCCAUUGGUAGCUUGCGAAGAAGAUAAUACUCUAACAGAACUAAAACAUAAAUUACAGUAUUUACAUGGUGUAUUCCUGAAAUAUGGAGUGGUAAGUCAAAGUAUUAAUGCUAAUAGUCCAUAUCCCCAAGAAGCUAAGGAAUACCUAAUAACGGAUACCAUUUUCAUCUGCAAAUCUGUUUCUCAAUAUCCACAAAAUCUAAACAUAGCCCGAGGGCUUUGAUUUUGUAGUAAGAGCGCAACAAAUGGUGUACGCCACGGGUUCGAAUCUUGCCGAAGAUAAAAGCUCAAAUUUUAAGGGAAAAAGGGUAGAGGGACAAGCACAUUAUCUAAUGAGGUUCGAGCCGUGCGCCACUGACCAUCGAAAAUUUCUUGUUUAUAAAAGAAAUUUAAUUUACCUAUAUAACAACUACUACUUCUGGUAUACCCUUCUUGGCUCUAUCUCUCACCAUUUUCGAACACCAGCAACAAUAAUCCACAAUCUAAAACCUCCAAAUGCACACAAUUGCUUAGCUCUAAUCUGGUUCUGAUUAUAUCCAAAUUAAGGAACAAUUCGGAGUUGAAGUUGCCAGAAUUGACAAUUUUGUUGAAGUUGUGGGUGGUAAAUUCUUGAGAAAUCUCCUCAAAGCGCGUUGAUUUUUGGGUUGGUGGAAUCCAUUAGGUCUUUGUAUUUGAGCCGUAUUUUCUAGGGUUUUGUUCAUUUCACCGUGUGCUCAAGAGCCUCUCUAUUUGGUCUUUUCUGAUUGGUUGUCAGGCAACCUUCUCAUAGUUUAUCUUCUGUGUACUACUUGCACCAUCACCACCAGCCAUAUUUUCGUUAACUUCAAGGGCUGCAAUUCAGGUUCUAUUGUUCCUCUCUUGUCUUGAUAUUUUAGCAAAAUUGUAUCUCCUUGCCUGCCUAUCUUGUUCUUGAAUCCUUAGUUAGUAUUUGCCAUAGCACUGCCAAAUUAAUUGCAUUAGUGAUAGCUUUGCCUACUUAUUUAUAUUGUUAGCUACCUAUUUACUUCUUUAUUUUGAAUCUUUAUUUCAUAUAUCCCCUAGUAGUUACUGUUCUAGUUUUGCACAUUUUCUUUUUGACCUUUAGUUAUAGAUUAUAGCCCACUUUAGCUCUUUUAUUGUAUUUCUUCACCUAUUUUUCUGUUCUUUAGUUGUAGAAUAUAGUUUCAUUUAGUUCCUUUAUUUUAUUUCUUCACAUGUUUUUCUGACCUUUAUUGUAGAUUAUAGUUCCCGUUAGUUCCUUUAUUCUUUUUCUUCACCUAUUUUGCGACCUUUAGUGGUAGAUUAUAUUUAGGUAAUUCAUUUUAUUUUUGUCGCUUAAUUUCGGGAUAGUGCUUGCGUAGUGACUCCUAGAUUAUAGUGGCUUUGGUGAACGAUGGUAGGGUAAGGUCUUGUCCUCGGGGGUGUCAGCACGGGGGAGAGGGUGCAGGGAUAAGAGGGCAAGAGAGCUACAAGGCUAAGAGUGGGGUCUUGGAACAUAAGAAUUUUGACUAGAAAAUUUGUAGAGUUAGCGAUGAUUCUCGAGAAAAGAAAGAUUAAUAUAGCUUGUGUACAAGAGACUAGUUGGGUAGGAGAUAAGGCGCAUGAUAUGGACAGGUUCAAACUAUGGUAUUUUGGGAGGGUGAGGGCAGGAAUGGGGUAUGUAUCUUGGUUGAUAAUGACCUCCGUGAACUAGUGGUGGAGGUUAGGAGGGUGAAUGACAGGCUGAUGACUAUUAAGGUAGUUGUUGGAGGUUUUAAUUUGAACAUAAUCAGUGCGUACGCACCCCAAAAAGGCUUGGAUGAGGAAGUCAAUAAGCGCUUAUGGGAGGAUUUGGAUGAGAUGGUGCAUGGUAUCCCGCAUACUGAGCAUCUUUUCAUAGGAGGAUAUUUCAAUAGCUACAUUGGAGCGACGUCUGUGGGCUAUGAUGAUGUGCAUGGUGGCUUUGAUUUUGGAGAUAGAAACGGAGGAGGAACGUCUCUGUUGGACUUUACUGGAGCAUUUGAUUUGGUGAUAACAAACUCGAGUUUCCCGAAGAAGAGGGAGUACUUAGUCACCUUUCGGAGUUUGGUGACCGAGACGCAGAUUAAUUAUUUACUCUGCAGGAAGUCCGAUAGAGGUUUUUGCACGGAUUGCAAGGUCAUCCCGAGUGAGAACCUCUCGACCCUUCAUAGGCUCCUGGUUAUGGAUCUUGAGAUCACGAGGAAGAGGAGGAGAAUGGCGAUGUAUAGCCAACAUAGGAUCAAGUGGGGAGCCUUGACGGAAGCUAAGGCGCAGGAGUUAAGGGUCAAGCUGUUGACUAUGGGGGCAUGAAGGAGUAGUGGGGACGCAAGCGCUAUGUAGACCACGGCUGCGCAGUGCAUUAGGGAAGCCGCAAGAGAGGUAUUAGGGGUCUCAAAGGGUUAUUCUGGUGGUCACAACGGAGACUGGUGGUGGAAUGGAGAUGUCCAAGAAAAAGUGAAAACCAAGAAAGCAGCUUAUCUGAAGCUAGUGAAAAGUCUAGACGAGGAGGAGAAGAUGGCGAAUAGGGAGCAUUAUAAGUUGGCUAAUAAAGAGGCAAAGCUAGCAGUUACGGCAGCCAAGACUACAACUUUUAGUCGUUUGUACGAGGAACUCAAGGGCCGAGGUGGGGAAAGAGGUUGUUCAGGUUCGCCAAGGCGCGAGAAAGGUAGGCGCGUGACUUGGACCAAGUGAAGUGCAUCAAAGACGGAGAAGGUAAAGUUUUGUUGGAUGAGGGGCAUAUCCGUCGGAGAUGACAGACCUACUUCCAUAGUCUCUCGAACGAGGAGGGGCACAUGAACAUUGUACUGGGUGAUUUGGAACUCUUCGGGAGUCAUUGUAACUUUGGGUAUUGUAGACGGAUUAGAGUUGAUGAAGUUGAGGGGGCUAUGCGUAAGAUGAGCAGGGGAAAAGCAACCGGGCUGGAUGAAAUUCCGAUGGAGUUUUGGAAGAGUGCGGGCAAGGAAGGCUUGGAGUGGAUCACUAGGUUAUUUAAUGUCACUAUUAGAACGAAUAAGAUACCCGAAGAGUGGAGGUGGAGAACGAUGGUUCCUAUAUAAAAGAAUAAGGGUGAUAUCCAAAAUUGCAAUAACUAUCGGGGUAUCAAGCUGUUUAGCCAUACUAUGAAAGUUUGGAGAGAGUGGUAGAGCAAAGGGUGAGGAAGAGUGUGUCUAUUUUUGAAAACCAGUUCGGGUUUAUGCCGGGGCGUUCAACUACAGAAACCAUCCACCUUGUUAGAAGAUUGAUGGAGCAGUAUAUGGAGAGAAAGAAGGACUUGCAUAUGGUGUUCAUCGACUUAGAAAAGGCGUACGAUAAAGUUCCGAGAGAGGUUUUGUAGAGAUGUUUGGAUGCUAGAGGUGUACAUGUUGCCUACGUUAGGUUGAUUAAAGACAUGUAUAAUGGAGCAAAGACCCGAGUGAGGACGGUGGGUGGGGACUCAGACCAUUUUUCGGUUAUGAUGGGGUUGCAUCAGGGUUCGGCACUUGGACCUUUUUUGUUUGCUCUGGCAAUAGACGUAUUGACGCGCCACAUGCAAGGGGAGGUGUCGUGGUGCAUGCUAUUUGCAGAUGAUAUUGUAUUGAUUGACGAGACGCGAGACAGUGUGAACGUGCAAUUAGAGGUAUGGAGGCAGACCCUGGAGUCUAAAGUUUUCAAGUUGAGCAGGAUCAAGACAUAAUACUUGGAGUGUAAGUUCAGUAGCGAGACUCAAGUAGGGGAAUGAGAUGUGAGGUUGGACUCACAGGUCAUCCCUAGGAGAGUAAGUUUUAAGUACCUUGGGUCUAUUAUUCAGGGGGAUGGGGAGAUUAUGUCACACAUCGUAUUGGGGCGGGAUGGAUGAAAUGGAGACUCGUUUAUGGUGUUUUGUGUGACAAGAAGGUAUCACCAAAACUUAAAGGUAUGUUCUACAGAGUGGUGGUUAGGCUAACGAUGUUAUUUGGGGCUGAGUGUUGUCCAGUCAAGAUCGCUCAUGUCCAGAAGAUGAAUGUAGCAGAGAUGAAGAUGUUGAGAUGGAUGUGCAAGCACACUAGGUUAGAUAGGAUAAGAAAUGAGGUUAUUCGCGACAAGGUGGGUGUGACCCCUAUUGAGGACAAGAUGCUGGAAAAGCGGCUUAGGUGGUUUGGUAAACACAGACGCCCCGGUGAGGAGAUGUGAGAGGUUGACAUUGGAGGGCCUACAGAGAGGUAGAGGUAGGCCAAAGAAGAGGCCAGGAGAGGUGAUUAGGCAAGACAUGGCGCAACUUCAGUUGACCGAGGACAUGACCCUUGAUAAGAAGGUAUGAAAGUCGAGGAUUAGGGUAGUAGAGUAGGUACUCUAGAGUGUUCAUAGCAGUAGUAUUGACACACAGUUUCGCUUUCUGUUGGUAAUAUAUUUUUAUGAGUAACCGUUGUUUUCUUUCAUUGUUGAUCACUUUACUAUCUUGUUGUUUUUAUUCUACUUUUAUAUGGCUUUUUGGUACUCUCUUCUUGUUUAUAUUUUCAUUAAUGUGGUGCUCAUGCUUUCCCGAGCCGAGGGUCUAUUUGAAACAAUCUCUCUAUCCUCACAAGAUAGGUUAAGGUACGUGUACACACUACCCUCUCCAGACCCUACGGUAUGGGAUAAUAGUGGGUAUGUUUUUGUUGUUGUUUUGCUUUUUCCUAUUUAGGAUGCAUAUAUAAGUGGACAAGAUUGUGCUGAUAAUGUUGAGAAAAGGCCCAAAAUUGGAACUCUCAGAUAUAAAGAACCUUUGCUGACUAAAAUGAAUCAGAACUUGCCCUACUCUAUAUGAGUAUUUCUCCUGAUAUUCAGUAGAGUUUUGAGACAAAGUCUACCCUUUCUACUACCAUUGUAUACAUAUUCUCUUCAUUUUUGGUUUUCUUAGGCAAAAUGUAACUGGAUUCCUACUUCAUGAAGUCAGCGCUCUAAAGAUUGUGAGUAUCUUGCAUCUGGUUCAAUAUUUUACAUAAGCACCUUAUAUUAUGUUGUUGAUGUUAUAACAAUUAGUAUUUCUAACCAGAGGCGGAUCUAGGAUUCUGAAAAGACGGGUGCAACAUUUCGGGAUGAGAAAAUCGAGUAAACUUCAUGCGUGUGAAAACUGGGAAGUUUCAUGGGAAUUGAUUGCUAUAGUGAUUUAAAGAAUAAAAAGGAAAGUUACGUUAGUAGAAAUAGAAAGAAAAGAAAUAUUUAAGAAAAAAAUUAAACAAAACUUUUGGUUGGGGGAUUUGAUCCCUUGACCUUAGGUUGGUGGAAAUAAGGCGCCAAAGCCAAUGAACCACUUCACCUCUUUUGACCUUGGGUUCCAUUAAAUAUGUAUAUGUAGUUUUGCCAAAUUAUGUACAUCAUAUAUAUACUUUAACCCGAGUACCACGGGUUCACGUGAACCACAUUUUAUACCGUGGAUUCGCCCCUGUUUCUAGCAGGUAUCCUACUUGGUCACCUUGGAAAGUAAUGUUGUGCAGAGAAAUUUUCUCCAUCAAAGAGGCAAAGAGAUUAUGUAGGGCAUCUACCCCUGACAGAAAAGAAGACGGAAAGAAAGUCGAUUAAUACCUUAGCAAUACCGCGAAUAUUGAUGUUUGUAUUUGUUAUUGUUGAGAAGGAGUGAAUAGAGAUCCAACCAAUUAUUGGUGAUGAAUCCAGCUUUUCUCCGUUCUUUGGAGUAAGGGGGCGCGAGGGGAAGAGAUGGGACCAAAAAAAGUGAAUUCAUUCGUGAUAGUUGCAGUAGUAAUCGUUUGAUCUGACUAAUAAAACUUUUUGAUUUUAAUCAAUUGUUAAAAUACUGCAACAUAGUUAUGUUUUGUUAUUAGGUGGUAAAAGUGUAGAUUUUAUUCGAUAUUAAUGUUGUUUUUUCUUGUUAACUUUUGACGUGUAGAAGUAAUUGUAG
RNAcentral lists this long non-coding RNA (6002 nucleotides) under Nicotiana tabacum (common tobacco). RNAcentral describes it as "long non-coding RNA (NTAB_LNC013864)". The record is from RNAcentral. Lineage: Eukaryota; Viridiplantae; Streptophyta; Magnoliopsida; Solanales; Solanaceae.